GAUGAAGAACGCAGCGAAAUGCGAUAAAUAAUGUGAAUUGCAGAAUUCAGUGAAUCAUCGAGUCUUUGAACGCACAUUGCGCCCCCUGGUAUUCCGGGGGGCAUGCCUGUCCGAGCGUCAUUGCUGCCCUCAAGCACGGCUUGUGUGUUGGGCCCCCGUCCCCCCCUCCCGGGGGACGGGCCCGAAAGGCAGCGGCGGCACCGCGUCCGGUCCUCGAGCGUAUGGGGCUUUGUCACCCGCUCUGUAGGCCCGGCCGGCGCCUGCCGACCACCAUCAAUCUUUUUUCCAGGUUGACCUCGGAUCAGGUAGGGAUACCCGCUGAACUUAAGCAUAUCAAUAAGCGGAGGA
RNAcentral lists this unclassified non-coding RNA (348 nucleotides) under soil metagenome. RNAcentral describes it as "partial contains 5.8S ribosomal RNA, internal transcribed spacer 2, and large subunit ribosomal RNA". The stretch from base 1 to 120 matches the Rfam family "5.8S ribosomal RNA", at positions 35 to 154 of the family's 154-position model. The record is from RNAcentral.